CCGCAAUUUUUCAGUUUGAGAAUCAUUCGAUCACACUCGUCUUCACACUCACCCAUUUACCUCUCUUUCUUAUCUCUGAGAUCCACCAUUUUUCUUCACCCACCUUCUUCCCUUUCUAACCACCAUCCAAUCACCAAAAUUCUGAGAACAAUCUUCAUCUCUUUCUCUCUUCAACCUAUUCACUGCAACUUCUCAAAAGUUUUCCCCUAA
Vicia faba (fava bean) is the source of this 210-nucleotide non-coding RNA. The record is from the annotation of a GenBank genome assembly. Lineage: Eukaryota; Viridiplantae; Streptophyta; Magnoliopsida; Fabales; Fabaceae.